Molecule: small nucleolar RNA, 91 nt
Organism: Ictidomys tridecemlineatus (thirteen-lined ground squirrel)
Lineage: Eukaryota; Metazoa; Chordata; Mammalia; Rodentia; Sciuridae
Source: Ensembl
GGCUUACAGACAGGUGCAACAAAUAAGUCCUAUUUUUCAACCCAGAACUCAUUGUUCAGUUUGAGUUUUGAUACACAUAAGCAGGAAUAUU